AUUGAACGCUGGCGGCAUGCUUUACACAUGCAAGUCGAACGGUAACAGGGUGCUUGCACCGCUGACGAGUGGCGAACGGGUGAGUAAUGCGUCGGAACGUGCCGAGUAGUGGGGGAUAACGCAGCGAAAGUUGUGCUAAUACCGCAUACGUACUGAGGUAGAAAGUGGGGGACCUUCGGGCCUCACGCUAUUCGAGCGGCCGACGUCUGAUUAGCUAGUAGGUGAGGUAAAGGCUCACCUAGGCGACGAUCAGUAGCGGGUCUGAGAGGAUGAUCCGCCACACUGGGACUGAGAAACGGCCCAGACUCCUACGGGAGGCAGCAGUGGGGAAUUUUGGACAAUGGGCGAAAGCCUGAUCCAGCCAUGCCGCGUUUCUGAAGAAGGCCUUCGGGUUGUAAAGGACUUUUGUCAGGGAGGAAAUCCCUAGUGCUAAUAACACUGGGGGAUGACAGUACCUGAAGAAUAAGCACCGGCUAACUACGUGCCAGCCGCCGCGGUAA
RNAcentral lists this ribosomal RNA (500 nucleotides) under uncultured bacterium. RNAcentral's name for it is "partial 16S ribosomal RNA". It matches the Rfam family "Bacterial small subunit ribosomal RNA", at positions 30 to 523 of the family's 1533-position model. The record is from RNAcentral.